UACGUAGGUGGCAAGCGUUGUCCGGAUUUACUGGGCGUAAAGCGCGCGCAGGCGGUCAAGUCAGUCGAAUGUGAAAGCCCCCGGCUCAACUGGGGAGGGUCAUUCGAUACUGCUCGACUUGAAGGCAGGAGAGGGAAGUGGAAGUCCCGGUGUAGUGGGGAAAUGCGUAGAUAGCGGGAGGAACACCAGUGGCGAAGGCGACUUUCUGGCCUGUUCGUGACGCUGAGGCGCGAAAGCUAGGGGAGCAAACGGG
Molecule: ribosomal RNA, 253 nt
Filed under: uncultured bacterium
Lineage: Bacteria
Description: partial 16S ribosomal RNA
Rfam family: Bacterial small subunit ribosomal RNA
Source: RNAcentral